RNAcentral lists this ribosomal RNA (685 nucleotides) under uncultured Bacteroidales bacterium. RNAcentral describes it as "bacterial SSU rRNA". It matches the Rfam family "Bacterial small subunit ribosomal RNA", at positions 61 to 731 of the family's 1533-position model. The record is from RNAcentral. Lineage: Bacteria; Pseudomonadati; Bacteroidota; Bacteroidia; Bacteroidales.
GUCGAGGGGCAGCAUGGUCUUAGCUUGCUAAGGCUGAUGGCGACCGGCGCACGGGUGAGUAACACGUAUCCAACCUGCCGUCUACUCUUGGCCAGCCUUCUGAAAGGAAGAUUAAUCCAGGAUGGGAUCAUGAGUUCACAUGUCCGCAUGAUUAAAGGUAUUUUCCGGUAGACGAUGGGGAUGCGUUCCAUUAGAUAGUAGGCGGGGUAACGGCCCACCUAGUCAACGAUGGAUAGGGGUUCUGAGAGGAAGGUCCCCCACAUUGGAACUGAGACACGGUCCAAACUCCUACGGGAGGCAGCAGUGAGGAAUAUUGGUCAAUGGGCGAUGGCCUGAACCAGCCAAGUAGCGUGAAGGAUGACUGCCCUAUGGGUUGUAAACUUCUUUUAUAAAGGAAUAAAGUCGGGUAUGCAUACCCGUUUGCAUGUACUUUAUGAAUAAGGAUCGGCUAACUCCGUGCCAGCAGCCGCGGUAAUACGGAGGAUCCGAGCGUUAUCCGGAUUUAUUGGGUUUAAAGGGAGCGUAGAUGGAUGUUUAAGUCAGUUGUGAAAGUUUGCGGCUCAACCGUAAAAUUGCAGUUGAUACUGGAUGUCUUGAGUGCAGUUGAGGCAGGCGGAAUUNCGUGGUGUAGCGGGUGAAAUGCUUAGAUAUCACGAAGAACUCCGAUUGCGAAGGCAGCCUGCUA